UCCCCUGUGGAUCAGUUGGUAGAGCAUGGCACUUGUAAUGUCAUGGUUGUGGGUUUAGUUCCCACAGGGGAC
RNAcentral lists this transfer RNA (72 nucleotides) under Salmo salar (Atlantic salmon). It matches the Rfam family "tRNA". Rfam says of the family: Transfer RNA (tRNA) molecules are approximately 80 nucleotides in length. Their secondary structure includes four short double-helical elements and three loops (D, anti-codon, and T loops). The record is from Rfam by way of RNAcentral. Lineage: Eukaryota; Metazoa; Chordata; Actinopteri; Salmoniformes; Salmonidae.